UGGGGAAUAUUGGACAAUGGGCGCAAGCCUGAUCCAGCCAUACCGCGUGGGUGAAGAAGGCCUUCGGGUUGAAAAGCCCUUUUGCUGGGAAAGAAAAGCAGUCGGUUAAUACCCGAUUGUUCUGACGGUACCCAAAGAAUAAGCACCGGCUAACUUCGUGCCAGCAGCCGCGGUAAUACGAAGGGUGCAAGCGUUACUCGGAAUUACUGGGCGUAAAGCGUGCGUAGGUGGUUGUUUAAGUCUGUCGUGAAAGCCCUGGGCUCAAACUGGGAAUUGCGAUGGAAACUGGGCAACUAGAGUGUGGCGAAAGAUAGUGGAAUUCCUGGUGUAGCAGUGAAAUGCGUAGAGAUCUGGAGAAACAUCCGUGGCGAAGGCGACUGUCUGGGCCAACACUGACACUGAGGCACGAAAGCGUGGGGAGCAAACAGG
This 429-nucleotide ribosomal RNA is filed under the name Bacillota bacterium. RNAcentral's name for it is "Firmicutes bacterium partial 16S ribosomal RNA". It matches the Rfam family "Bacterial small subunit ribosomal RNA", at positions 355 to 776 of the family's 1533-position model. The record is from RNAcentral. Lineage: Bacteria; Bacillati; Bacillota.